AUGGAGGAUAGAGCCACUUGGGCAUGGAACGAGGUGGGAGAGUAUACAGCAACAUCGGCCUACAAGAUGCUAUGGGAAGGAGGGAUCAGAUUUCACGCCAAUGCCGCGAUUUGGAAGUGCUGGGCCCCGCUAUCAUGCAAGAUUUUCAUGUGGCUGGCAAUUCAAUACAGGCUCUGGACCUCAGACAGGAGGCUUAGACAUGGGCUACAAGAAGAAUCUUCCACCUGUUUUUUGUGCGAUCAAGAGGAAGACAAUGUGGAUCACUUACUGCUACAAUGUGUCUUCGCAAGACAGGUUUGGUACUUAUGCUUCUCCAAGGUGGACAUCGAUCUAGGCUUGAUUCCCUCUCAUCAAGACAAGCUUCAAGAUUGGUGGACUAGCACACGCAAGCAAAUCCGCAAGGAAGAAAGGAAGGGCUUUGACUCGUUUGUCAUGCUCAUUAGUUGGACGCUGUGGAAGCAAAGGAACAAUAGGGUUUUCCGGUCUGGUAACAUCUGUAAUGUGGCUGACACGGCAGAGCUUAUUUUUGCUGAUUUACGACAAUGGGCUCUGGCAGGAGGGAGAGGAGUUCAUCGAUAUUGUGAGUAG
RNAcentral lists this ribosomal RNA (588 nucleotides) under Triticum aestivum (bread wheat). Its description in RNAcentral is "partial small subunit ribosomal RNA". Lineage: Eukaryota; Viridiplantae; Streptophyta; Magnoliopsida; Poales; Poaceae. The record is from RNAcentral.